CCUACGGGUGGCAGCAGUGGGGAAUAUUGGACAAUGGGCGAAAGCCUGAUCCAGCCAUGCCGCGUGUAUGAAGAAGGCCUUCGGGUUGUAAAGCACUUUCAGUGGGGAAGAAAGCCUUGGGGCUAAUACCCUCGAGGAAGGACAUCACCCACAGAAGAAGCACCGGCUAACUCCGUGCCAGCAGCCGCGGUAAUACGGAGGGUGCGAGCGUUAAUCGGAAUUACUGGGCGUAAAGCGCGCGUAGGCGGUCUGAUAAGCCGGUUGUGAAAGCCCCGGGCUCAACCUGGGAACGGCAUCCGGAACUGUCAGGCUAGAGUGCAGGAGAGGAAGGUAGAAUUCCCGGUGUAGCGGUGAAAUGCGUAGAGAUCGGGAGGAAUACCAGUGGCGAAGGCGGCCUUCUGGACUGACACUGACGCUGAGGUGCGAAAGCGUGGGUAGCAAACAGGAUUAGAUACCCUAGUAGUC
RNAcentral lists this ribosomal RNA (465 nucleotides) under Vreelandella stevensii. RNAcentral describes it as "partial 16S ribosomal RNA". It matches the Rfam family "Bacterial small subunit ribosomal RNA", at positions 338 to 795 of the family's 1533-position model. The record is from RNAcentral. Lineage: Bacteria; Pseudomonadati; Pseudomonadota; Gammaproteobacteria; Oceanospirillales; Halomonadaceae.